CUACGUGCCAGCAGCCGCGGUAAUACGUAGGUCCCGAGCGUUGUCCGGAUUUAUUGGGCGUAAAGCGAGCGCAGGCGGUUUGAUAAGUCUGAAGUUAAAGGCUGUGGCUCAACCAUAGUUCGCUUUGGAAACUGUCAAACUUGAGUGCAGAAGGGGAGAGUGGAAUUCCAUGUGUAGCGGUGAAAUGCGUAGAUAUAUGGAGGAACACCGGUGGCGAAAGCGGCUCUCUGGUCUGUAACUGACGCUCAUGUGCGAAAGCGUGGGGAGCAAACAGGAUUAGAUACCCUGGUAGUCCACGCUGUAAACGAUGUCGAUUUGGGGGUUGAGCUUUGAGCUUGGCGCCCGUAGCUAACGUGAUAAAUCGACCGCCUGGGGAGUACGGCCGCAAGGUUAAAACUCAAAUGAAUUGACGGGGGCCCGCACAAGCGGUGGAGCAUGUGGUUUAAUUCGAUGCAACGCGAAGAACCUUACCUACUCUUGACAUCCAGAGAACAUUC
This 497-nucleotide ribosomal RNA is filed under the name uncultured bacterium. RNAcentral's name for it is "bacterial SSU rRNA". It matches the Rfam family "Bacterial small subunit ribosomal RNA", at positions 501 to 1000 of the family's 1533-position model. The record is from RNAcentral.